Pezoporus occidentalis (night parrot) is the source of this 524-nucleotide long non-coding RNA. RefSeq lists it as uncharacterized. Lineage: Eukaryota; Metazoa; Chordata; Aves; Psittaciformes; Psittacidae. The record is from RefSeq and is a predicted model, not a curated record. The transcript is spliced from 2 exons.
UCAGAAACAAAUAUAUAAGAUUUCUCAAGCACUUAUGAUAGUAGGACACUGAAGACCACUUCUCCUUCGCUGUCAGGAAGGAGUAUGGCAGAAGUAAUUUCUGAAGUUAUGGCUGGGUGAGGUUACCUUACAUGGCUUAAUAAAAAUGAAAUAAAUCUCAUGCAGUGCUGUUGUAUUUGUUUGUGUUAUGGCGUUCGCCCCAAAGUGAUUUGUGUCCUAGAUUUAUCUUCUGAUGAAACGGCAUAGCCCAGCUGUCUGGUGCCAUUGUCACUGCUCAUAGAAGUGGUCCAUUCUUUUUGUGGUAUUGUAUUUAACGUGUUUUGUGAAGUCAUGCCAGCAUGUCUGUUCUGUGAUACCCAAGAAAAAGCAGACACCUCUGGCUUAUUCAUCCUAAAAUUGCUCUCUCUAAAGAACUGGAUAUUGAGGAGAGGUAUGUAAGUUCUAACAAAGAGGAGUCGUUGACUUAAGCAUUCUCUACUGAUACCUUUCUUCCAGAAAGUCGCUUUAGUCAUUAAAUAGGGGGG